RNAcentral lists this non-coding RNA (87 nucleotides) under Bacillus sp. 103mf. RNAcentral's name for it is "GEMM cis-regulatory element". It matches the Rfam family "c-di-GMP-I riboswitch aptamer". From Rfam's summary of the family: GEMM was predicted in a large-scale screen for bacterial structured RNA regulatory elements. Genes associated with GEMM are involved in a diverse array of functions, including chemotaxis regulation, signal transduction, secretion and chitin. RNAcentral also lists the same sequence under 1 other name. Lineage: Bacteria; Bacillati; Bacillota; Bacilli; Caryophanales; Bacillaceae. The record is from RNAcentral.
CAUCGAGAAAGGCAAACUUAUGGAAGCAUAAGGAUGCAAAGCUGUAGGGGCUAAGGGCGGAUGAGACUAGGCUAGCCAGUUACCGGA